AGCAGUGGGGAAUUUUGGACAAUGGGCGCAAGCCUGAUCCAGCAAUGCCGCGUGAGUGAAGAAGGCCUUCGGGUUGUAAAGCUCUUUUGUCAGGGAAGAAACGGUGAGGGCUAAUAUCCUUUGCUAAUGACGGUACCUGAAGAAUAAGCACCGGCUAACUACGUGCCAGCAGCCGCGGUAAUACGUAGGGUGCAAGCGUUAAUCGGAAUUACUGGGCGUAAAGCGUGCGCAGGCGGUUUUGUAAGUUUGUCGUGGAAGCCCCGGGCUCAACCUGGGAAUUGCGAUGAAGACUGCAAGGCUUGAAUCUGGCAGAGGGGGGUAGAAUUCCACGUGUAGCAGUGAAAUGCGUAGAGAUGUGGAGGAACACCGAUGGCGAAAGCAGCCCCCUGGGUCAAGAUUGACGCUCAUG
This 409-nucleotide ribosomal RNA is filed under the name uncultured bacterium. Its description in RNAcentral is "bacterial SSU rRNA". It matches the Rfam family "Bacterial small subunit ribosomal RNA", at positions 350 to 751 of the family's 1533-position model. The record is from RNAcentral.